Long non-coding RNA from Oryzias melastigma (Indian medaka), 526 nucleotides. RefSeq lists it as uncharacterized. Lineage: Eukaryota; Metazoa; Chordata; Actinopteri; Beloniformes; Adrianichthyidae. The record is from RefSeq and is a predicted model, not a curated record. The transcript has 2 exons.
CUGUAACAAAACACACUGUUACGGGGUUGAAUCAUUGUAGCUCUUAAGCCAGUAAACCACUUUUUUUUCUCUGUUAUUUCAUGUUCAGUAUUUUCUCAUAACAGGUCCAGCACUUCCUCCUCUGCUGGCUCCGCCCUUUCCAGCAGGACACCAGAUGGAUCUCAUCACUGAUUAGCAGCAUGUGCUUCAACUCUGUGUACCAGGAGCCAACAUGAUAAAGAGGCUUGAGAAGAUGUUUUCUGUAAAAACAAAACAAAACUCUGGACUGUGUAAGAAAGGAUACGUAUUAGAAUACUGAAGAGGCAGCCGUGUUUUCCCCUGAGAAGACUCAGACUGAAUUAGACUGAGUGCAAACUGAAGUGAAGUGGAAACUGAAGCUGAACUAAAGCAAAUACUUAAGGACUGCUGGGGUGAAGGCUGAAGAAAAGUCAAAGGAAAGCAAAAGCAAAACUAAACAAAAAAAAGGGGGCAAUCUCAAAGCUAAGCUCAAAGUUAAAGCAAAAUCAAGAACAAAGAAGAAAGAAAA